GAUGAACGCUGACAGAAUGCUUAACACAUGCAAGUCAACUUGAACUUCGGUUUGGGUGGCGGAUGGGUGAGUAACGCGUAAAGAACUUGCCUCACAGCUAGGGACAACAUUUGGAAACGAAUGCUAAUACCUGAUAUUAUGAUUAUAUGGCAUCGUAUAAUUAUGAAAGCUAUAUGCGCUGUGAGAGAGCUUUGCGUCCCAUUAGCUAGUUGGAGAGGUAACAGCUCACCAAGGCGAUGAUGGGUAGCCGGCCUGAGAGGGUGAUCGGCCACAAGGGGACUGAGACACGGCCCUUACUCCUACGGGAGGCAGCAGUGGGGAAUAUUGGACAAUGGACCGAGAGUCUGAUCCAGCAAUUCUGUGUGCACGAUGAAGUUUUUCGGAAUGUAAAGUGCUUUCAGUUGGGAAGAAAAAAAUGACGGUACCAACAGAAGAAGUGACGGCUAAAUACGUG
Molecule: ribosomal RNA, 454 nt
Filed under: uncultured bacterium
Lineage: Bacteria
Description: partial 16S ribosomal RNA
Rfam family: Bacterial small subunit ribosomal RNA
Source: RNAcentral